This is a long non-coding RNA of Priapulus caudatus, 588 nucleotides long. RefSeq lists it as uncharacterized. The record is from RefSeq and is a predicted model, not a curated record. NCBI's taxonomy places the organism in Eukaryota, Metazoa, Priapulida, Priapulimorpha, Priapulimorphida, Priapulidae. The transcript has 2 exons.
ACGUCGUCGUAUGGCCGCGUGUAUAUGUGUGGAAUCAACACGAUCUUGUCUGGGAGAUUGCUGGUGUUCUUCAAUCGCGGUGUUAUGUAUCACUGCUGCUCCUCCGCACACGCGAUGGCAUCUGCUGAGUGGAAGAUGGCCGCCAGUGGUUUUAGGUCGAGUUGUGGUCGUGUGAUACGAUCGUGUCUGGGAGGUUACUUAUACAACUUCGCGGUGUUAUGUGUCGCUGCUGCUCCUCCGCAUACGCGAUAACAUCUGCUGACCAUCAGUUGCUAACGUCGAUGUGUGGUUGGGUGGGGCUAACGCGCUUGUCAUUGGCAGGUUGGAAUUUCGCAGAGUGCGCUAGUCUAGUGAGGAGAACUAAACUGACCCAGUUGUAAAAGCAGAUUUCACGUGGCUGGCCGAGUCCCCUUUACGGAGCUAUAUAAAUAGUUACUGCGUGAUGUAUCCCAUAAUAGGCCUCUAGCUACCACUCUGUUCAGGGUCGUAGCCUGAGGGUGGGCGGGGUGAGCGACAGUUACGCCCACAUAGAUUUUGGAGAAAUGUAAAAAAUGUGCUAAAUAAAUCUAAAUAUAGUAGUUCAACGAA